Long non-coding RNA from Oreochromis aureus, 2511 nucleotides. Lineage: Eukaryota; Metazoa; Chordata; Actinopteri; Cichliformes; Cichlidae. The record is from Ensembl.
UUAAAUCUGUUUUUUUCUUUUAAAGUGGUAAAGUUCAAAAGCCUUAAAAUAGAGUAAAAACAAAGCACAAAGUGAGGACCGCUCACUUUGUGUGUGUAGUGCAUAUGAGUUACUACUAUCAGCACCGAGGUGUCGCCUGUGCACACUUCCUGUCUCCAGAAAUCUUUCACACCUUCAGAAAAUGGAAAAGAACCAUGUGAUGAAACAUUAUUUUGUUUGCUUGCUACAUAAGUUUGUUAAAGCGAGCUGGCUGAUAUGAGACGCAAGCGCCUGCUGUUUGCAGGUGUCUGUUUAUAGAAUAAGGAAAUGAUACAACUGACCUUGUUUUACUGCUCUCUCACCACACAGCCGGCACUCUGUACUGAUCUAAAGACAAACUAAAACCAAUCUAAACUUAUCUCAGAGAAGUUAUCGAGCUUUAUGUAUUUUUGGACUAAUAAAAUUAACUAAUCCGACAGCAGUAACUGUGAAAGGCUGAACGUUGCUCACUGCUGCUGCUGCUGCUGCUGCUGCUGCUAUCUUCACACGUUUCACUACCAGGUUCCGUGUUGUGAGUUUGCUUCUUCUCUUUCCAGCAGAGUUGUGUGGGCUCAUCAGUACACAGGUUAUAUCAGUAACAGGAACUGAAGGACGAGGCAUCACAGUGCGAUGCCACUUUUCUGUCUCUGGAAGCAGGAAGUUCUUCUGUAAGGGAAAUUGCAAUCCAGGCAAUGUUCUUAUUGAAACAUCUGAGACAAAAGCACAAAAAGGCAAAUAUAGCAUUGAAUAUGGAGGUACAGUGAGUUAUCCUGUCCUGUAUGUGACCAUCAAACCACUGACCAAGUCUGACGCUGGGCGUUACAAGUGUGGUAUGAGCAGAUUGUUCGUGGAUUCAGAACAGGAGGUCCAACUCAUUGUUAAAGCUGUUCCAACUACCAGCUCACCCAGCUCAACACCUUCGAUCACUCUGUCUCCAAGCACCAUGCAAGUAAGCAUAGCAGACUCGGUCUCCGACACACGCUCAGAGCACUUCCUGCCUCUGGUUGUAUGUGUGCCUGUGGUCGUUUUGGUGUUGGCAGCCGUUCUCUUCCUCCGCUGCAAAAAGAAGACACAAAGGAAGGUUGAUGGAGUAACCCUUGAUUACAGAAACACAAAGGUACCGCUUAACUUUAUUUAUUGUUUUUACUGUCAUGUUGACCAUGUGCACAAUAUUUUUUUACAUUUUUUUUCCUGAACCUAAUCACCGCCUAAACCCACCAGAAAAGUCAGCUUUACAAAAAUCAGAAAAGCAAAUCCCUCCAACCUUCAACUGACAGGCUCAGUGCAGUAACACAAUGUGUUUUAGAUACUUGUAAUAAAAUCUGUCUGAAACUCAGAGAGUGUGAGAAUUUUAUUUAUUUGUAUCUCCAUCUAUGCAAAAAUGUAGCACAAUCACAGAGGUGUUUAUUAGAAAUGACAUCCUCAGCUCUAAGCAUAUGUGAAUGUAUCUGUUCCAUGAAAUACAGAGUAAACAGAACCACAGCAAAGCUUAAUUUUACUAUAAAACCAACAGAACAAAGAGAAGCUGGCAGCUCACCAUGCUGCCCGUGCAUCUUAUCUCAGAGGGAUGCCACUCCCCGUGUAGCUCCAUUCACACACAGUUGUCACCACUAGAUGGCAACACAAGCAGGAUUAUCUGAAGAGCUGGGCAGCGUUAAAGGAAACUUAAAAUUGAACCUUAUGAAAACUGCGUUUUUCACACACGUGAAGACGCCAUCUACGAGAGCCUCGAUCCAAUCAGCAGGGAUCAGGACCCAACCUACUCCACACUCUCACACACUCACACGACUCACAAGGGGAUUCAAGAGUGAUUACAAUUAUCUGUGAAAAAUGCAUGUUUUAUAUAGUUUUAUACCCAUGUGUAUGAUCAUACGUCUUAUACAAAUAAAUAAAGAAAUAUAAGCUACAUGUAGGUCAUGGAUGUCAACCUCAGUUUGUGUUUGGGACACAUGAGGAAGUGAUAUUCCUAAAUACAAUUUGGUCCACAGAAAUGAUCCAACACCCUCGUGAGCUUCAGCACACCUGUUGGCACAUUUUGAAGUAAUAGUGAGUUUGUUUUUGGCCUCCUGUAACAAACACACUUGUUUAACAAACUGUGUGUACCUUCUGCGACACUGACACUGACAUCUUUCCUUCUCUUAUGACUUGCUGUGACUUUUUACGUUUACUGUUUAUUUUUAUUUUACUACUUUUUCCAGAUUCUAAGCUUUGAUUCAUGUUCUGAUAUUUUGAGUAGUAUUAGGUUCAUUUUCAUUUUAUUUUAUUAUUUUAGUCUUAAGUCACCUUGACUGGGCUUCACAUGCUGUCAUUCAGUACCCUGCAUAAUAAAAAAUGUUGAUUUAAAAUCAUAUUUCAUUGACAGAAACAAACUGAUUCUAAACUCGUCAGACAAAACAAAUUAGCAAGUGACUCCUAUACACACAGGAAGGAGCGCACUGUCCUCAAAGACACUAACAUGCUCUUGUCUACAACAGUGUACAUAUGUAAAUGGAC